This is an RNA transcript of Cucumis melo (muskmelon), 1006 nucleotides long. It is a transcript of the gene named V-type proton ATPase subunit a2-like, with no coding region annotated. The transcript is spliced from 4 exons. Lineage: Eukaryota; Viridiplantae; Streptophyta; Magnoliopsida; Cucurbitales; Cucurbitaceae. The record is from RefSeq and is a predicted model, not a curated record.
AAAAACCGACCCGACCCGAUGACCCGACCCGACCCGAUUCGGUUCGGUUCGGGUUGGAUCGGUUAGUAACAACAAUGUUACUGGACCGAACCGACCCGAUUUAAUUCGGUUCGGGUCGGGUCGGGUUUAAAAUACCCGAUUAGGUCAAUAUUCAUUUCCUCUCCUCUUCGAUUCUUCUUCAGUCUUCAGCAUUUCCUCUCCUCCUCCAAAGUUCAAAAACCAUUUUGUUCCAUCGUUUGGCGUCGGCAUCUACCUCUUCGUCUGCAUCAGCGUCGGCAUCUAUCUCUUCGUGUUCAUCGGCGUCGGCAUCUCUUCGUCUUCAUCACUUCGCCACUCCAUCGUCAUCGCCUAUUAAAAGAUGUGGGGAAAUGGCUCGGAAGCUACGAUUUUUCAAGGAGCAAAUGGCAAGGGCUGGUUUAUCACCAUCAUCCCAUUCUUUAGGGACUCCUGAUUUUGAUCUGGAUAAUUUGGAGUAGCCUUUCCUCGCCUUUGGCAGGUUAAACUUGGAGAAUUUGAAGUAGAGCUGUUAGAGAUAAAGGACAACAACGAGAAGUUACAACGCAAUUAUAGUGAGCUAUUGGAAUACAAGCUGGUGCUUGAGAAGGUUGGUGAGUUUUUUCAUCUAGCUCAAAGCAUAGCUGCAGCUCAUCAAAGAGAACUGGAAGUGCAGCAAAACGGGGAAGGAUAUAUUGACACUCCCUUAUUAUUACAUCAGUCAGUUGUAGGAUCUAUCUUAUAUAACUUCUUAGAUAAGUGCUAAGGAAGGAGGAGAAAAAAAAAAAAAAAAAAAAAAAAAAAAAAAAAAAAAAAAAAAAAAAAAAAAAAAAAAGACCCGACCCGACCCGACCCAAUCGGCCCAACCGGAAUGUGGGUUGGGUCGGGUCGGGUCGGGUUUCAGAAUCAACCGUACAUUUCGGGUCGGGUCGGUUUUGAAGAAAACCCGACCCGACCCGACCCAAUUACACCCCUAUGUCUAUAUGCAAAAUUAUGUUUGGUUUGUACUCUA